Molecule: ribosomal RNA, 247 nt
Filed under: uncultured bacterium
Lineage: Bacteria
Description: partial 16S ribosomal RNA
Rfam family: Bacterial small subunit ribosomal RNA
Source: RNAcentral
UACGUAGGGUGCAAGCGUUGUCCGGAAUUAUUGGGCGUAAAGAGCUCGUAGGCGGUUUGUUGCGUCGGCUGUGAAAUCCCGAGGCUCAACCUCGGGUCUGCAGUCGAUACGAGCAAACUAGAGUGUUGCAGGGGAGACUGGAAUUCCUGGUGUAGCGGUGGAAUGCGCAGAUAUCAGGAGGAACACCGAUGGCGAAGGCAGAUCUCUGGGCCUAACUGACGCUGAGGAGCGAAGCGUGGGGAGCGAA